RNAcentral lists this long non-coding RNA (244 nucleotides) under Setaria italica (foxtail millet). RNAcentral describes it as "long non-coding RNA (SITA_LNC003107)". Lineage: Eukaryota; Viridiplantae; Streptophyta; Magnoliopsida; Poales; Poaceae. The record is from RNAcentral.
AAGUCUCGAUAUGAACGAAUUGAGAGUGGCCAUGCAGCCUGUGAGUUUCUGCACAUCCUUGAUGCCAGCUGGUGCUUGCAUGUUUGUGAUGGCAGAUAUUUUUUUUGGGUUGGCCUCAAUGCUGCGAUGGCUAAUGAUGAACCCAAGUAACUUGCCAGAAGGUACUCCGAAGAUGCACUUAGUAGGAUUGAGUUUCCAUCGGAAAGCUCGUAGACUAGAGAAAGUUUCCUCCAGAUCAGCGAUG